RNAcentral lists this ribosomal RNA (497 nucleotides) under uncultured bacterium. RNAcentral describes it as "partial 16S ribosomal RNA". It matches the Rfam family "Bacterial small subunit ribosomal RNA", at positions 28 to 507 of the family's 1533-position model. The record is from RNAcentral.
GAUGAACGCUGGCGGCGUGCCUAACACAUGCAAGUCGAGCGAACAGACGAGGAGCUUGCUCCUCUGACGUUAGCGGCGGACGGGUGAGUAACACGUGGAUAACCUACCUAUAAGACUGGGAUAACCUCGGGAAUCCGGAGCUAAUACCGGAUAAUAUAUUGAACCGCAUGGUUCAAUAGCGAAAGACGGUUUUGCUGUCACUUAUAGAUGGAUCCGCGCCGCAUUAGCUAGUUGGUAAGGUAACGGCUUACCAAGGCAACGAUGCGUAGCCGACCUGAGAGGGUGGGCGGCCACACUGGAACUGAAACGCGGUCCAGACUCCUACGGGAGGCAGCAGUAGGGAAUCUUCCGCAAUGGGCGAAAGCCUGACGGAGCAACGCCGCGUGAGUGAUGAAGGUCUUCGGAUCGGAAAACUCUGUUAUUAGGGAAGAACAAAUGUGUAAGUAACUAUGCACGUCUUGACGGUACCUAAUCAGAAAGCCACGGCUAACUACGUG